Non-coding RNA from Nerophis lumbriciformis (worm pipefish), 3844 nucleotides. NCBI's taxonomy places the organism in Eukaryota, Metazoa, Chordata, Actinopteri, Syngnathiformes, Syngnathidae. The record is from RefSeq and is a predicted model, not a curated record.
GCCCCGCUGGUGUUGCCGUGAAAAUGUCACUGCGUGGACUUUUUUUUAGUCGAGGCUGCGUUCGAGGACCCCGCUGGCACCUUCCAGAAGCCACGUCGUGUCCGCCGAGACACGCGCGAGGAAGUGAUGAGGCGUUCACUGACGGAGGACGUGGCGAAUCUCUGUGAGUUUCUUCAACUUCUAUGAUUGACAUUUUUAGUGAUCAACGCCACAAGCCCCGCCCCCUCUAAACGGCGACAUGAACCUGCUGCUUGUUCAUCCACCACUCGAUGGGUCCUUGUUGGCGUGUGCCAUGUCUUGUGUCCGCAGGUAACCGGGGCAACACACUCUCUGGCAGGAGGAAAUGUAACACGCAGGCUGAUGUCAAUCUCUAAAGUCCACAUUUCACGCUGUGGAAACAUCUGCUGCAGACGUAACGAGGAGGUAGGAGCUCGUCCGAUUUUAGGUCUUGCUCUGGACAUUUUCAAUCUGCUCAAUAACACAGGUGUCAAACUCAAGGCCUGCGGGCCAAAUCUGUAGCCCGUCCCUUAAUUUUAAUGAUUCAUUUAAUGUUGCCUUCCAUGUCAUUUUUAAAAUGGCUCGCCACGUCAUUUGUCAUUUCGUCAUUCACCUCUUUUUAAUAAGACCCGCCAAGGCGUUUUAUGUAGUCCGUUAAAUUCUUUAAAGUGGCCUGCCACAUCCUUUUUUUAAUGUAGCCCACCACAUCAUUUUACGUAGUCCGCCACGUCAUCUAAUGUUGCCUUCCGUGUCGUUUUAAAAGUGGCCUGCCACAUCAUUUUAUGUGGUCCCAAUGCCAUUUAAUGUGGCCCACCAUAUCAUUUUUAAAGUCGCCCGCCACAUCAUUUAAAGUGGCAUACCACAUAAUCCUAAUGUGGCCCACCACAUCAUUUUAUGUGGCCCUCCACUUAAUUUUAUGUGGCCCCCACGCCAUUUAAUGCGGCUCCCUACGUCAUUUAAUGCGGUCUGCCACAUCAAUUAAUUUGGCCCUCCACAAAAAUUAACGUGUCCAGCCACCUCUUUUUAAUAAGACCCGCCAAGGCGUUUUAUGUAGUCUGUUACAUUAUUUAAAGUGGACUGCCACGUUCUUUUUUAAAUGUAGCCCACCACAUCAUUUUAUGUGGUCCCCAUGUCAUUUAAUGUGGUUCACCAUAUAAUUUUUCAUGUGGCACGCCACAUCAUUUAAAGUGGCCCCCACGUCAUUUAAUGUGGUCUGCCACAUCAAUUAAUUUGGCCCUCCACGACAUUUUUUAACGUGUCCAGUCACCUCUUUUUAAUAAGACCUGCCAAGGCGUUUUAUGUAGUCCGUUAAAUGUUUUAAAGUGGCCUGCCACGUCCUUUUUUUAAUGUAGCAAACUACAUCAUUUUACGUAGUCCGCCACAUCAUUUAAUGUUGCCUUCCGUGUCGUUUUAAAAGUGGCCUGCCACAUCAUUUUAUGUGGUCCCAACGCCAUUUAAUGUGGCUCACCAUGUCAUUUUUAUAGUCGCCUGCCACAUUAUUUAAAGUGGCAUACCACAUAAUCCUAAUGUGGCCCCCACGCCAUUUAAAGCGGCUCCCUACGUCAUUUAAUGCGGUCUGCCACAUCAAUUAAUUUGGCCCUCCACAAAAAUUUACGUGUCCAGCCACCUCUUUUUAAUAAGACCCGCCAAGGCGUUUUAUGUAGUCUGUUACAUUAUUUAAAGUGGACUGCAACUUUUUUAAAUGUAGCCCACCACGUCAUUUUAUGUGGUCCCCAUGUCAUUUAAUGUGGUUCACCAUAUAAUUUUUCAUGUGGCACGCCACAUCAUUUAAAGUAGCCCCCCACGUCGUUUAAUGUGGUCUGCCACAUCAAUUAAUUUGGCCCUCCACGAUAUUUUUUAACGUGUCCAGUCACCUCUUUUUAAUAAACCCCGCCAAGGCGUUUUAUGUAGUCCGUUAAAUGUUUUAAAGUGGCCUGCCACGUCCUUUUUUUAAUGUAGCCCAACACAUCAUUUUACGUAGUCCGCCACGUCAUUUAAUGUUGCCUUCCGUAUCGUUUUAAAAGUGGCCCGUCAAGGCGUUUUAUGUAGUCCGUUACAUUAUUUAAAGUGGACUGCCACUUUCUUUUUUAAAUGUAGCCCACCACAUCAUUUUAUGUGGUCCCCAUGUCAUUUAAUGUGGUUCACCAUAUAAUUUUUCAUGUGGCACGUCAUUUAAUGUGGUCUGCCACAUCAAUUAACUUGGCCCUCCACGACAUUUUUUAACGUGUCCAGUUACCUCUUUUUAAUAAGACCCGCCAAGGCGUUUUAUGUAGUUUGUUAAAUUUUUCAAAGUGGCCCGCCACAUCAUUUUACGUAGUCCGCCACGUCAUUUAAUGUUGCCUUCCGUGUCGUUUUAAAAGUGGCCUGCCACAUCAUUUUGUGUUCCCAACGCCAUUUAACGUGGCUCACCAUGUCAUUUUUAAAGUCGUCCGCCACAUCAUUUAAAGUGGCAUACCACAUAGUCCUAAUGUGGCCUGCCACAUCUUUUUUUUAAUGUAGCCCACCACAUCAUUUUAUGUGGCCCUCCACUUAAUUUAAUGUGGCCCCCACGUCGAGAGAAGGUUCUAGAAAAGACGAGCAAAGGGGGAAAGAGAGAGAAGGUUCUAGAAGGGACGAGGAAGGAGAGAGAGAGAGAGAGAGAGAGAGAGAGAGAGAGAGAGAGAGAGAGAGAGAGAGAAGGUUCUAGAAGGGACGGGCAAAGAGAGAGACAGAGAAGGUUCGAGAAGGCACGAGCGAAGGGAGAGCGCGAGAGAAGGUUCUAGAAAGGACGAGCAAAGGGGAGACAGAGAGAAGGUUCUAGAAGGGACGAGCAAAGAGAGAGAAAGAGAGAAGGUUCGAGAAGGCACGAGCGAAGGGAGAGCGCGAGCUUAGGUUCUAGAAAGGACGAACAAAGGCGAGACAGAUAGAAGGUUCUAGAAGGGACGAGCGAAGAGAGAGAGAGAGAGAGAGAAGGUUCGAGAAGGCACGAGCGAAGGGAGAGCGCGAGAGAAGGUUCUAGAAAGGACGAACAAAGGUGAGACAGAGAGAAGGUUCUAGAAGGGACGAGCGAAGAGAGAGAGAGAGAGAGAAGGUUCGAGAAGGCACGAGCGAAGGGAGAGCGCGAGAGAAGGUUCUAGAAAGGACGAGCAAAGGGGAAAUAGAGAGAACGUUCUAGAAGCACGAGCAAAGGAAGAGAGAGAGGAGGUUCUAGUAGGGCCGAGCAAAGGGAGAGCGAGAGAUAGAGAGAGAAGGUUCUAGAAGGGACGAGCCAGGUAGAACCAGGACGUCCGUGAUGUUAGGCCCUCUGCUAGCGAUGAGGCGUUAGCGCGAGGAGAGGCUAGCAGCCACACGGAAGCAGAGAGAAUUAAACGCUGCGUCACGCUCAGGAAGCAGCAGAAGAAGAAGAAGAGCGUGAGCGUGCACGUGAGCGUGCACGAGGGCGUGUGUGCGUGUGUGUGUGUGUGUGUGUGUGCGCUCCCUGGGUGUUUGUUUUGUGCUGCAAGUGUCGCUAAUAGCAGCACUUGGAAAUAACAGCAGCAGAGACGCAGAGAGAGAGAGAGGUGCAGGAGGGAGGAGGGCGAGCGACUCACACACAAGAGAGAGAGAGAGAUUUUUUUUUUUUUUUUUUUUUAAUUUUUUUUUUUUAGUUGCUACCUCACUUUUUCAUGUGCGGACAGAAAAUAACAAGUCAUGGAGUUUUCCUCCUCAAGUGGACAUCUUCUUCCUGCUUGGUACUUCCUUUGCUCUUCCUGUCACUCCAGCUAUUACACAAGAACGUGUGUGUGUGUGUGUGUGUGUGUGUGUGUGUGUGUGUGUGUGUGUGUGUGUGUGUGUGUGUGUGUGUGUGUGUGUGUGUGUGUGUGUGUGU